GCAGGGCGUGUUUCAGAACGAUGUUGUGAAAGCUCACGCCCUUCAGCCGCGCGGUGCGGAUAUAUUGCGCCGUCAUCACUUCGGUCGUCGAGGCGCGGGUCAUCCGGGCGAUAUAGCCCAUACCGUAAAGCGCAAUGGUGAUCACCGGCAGGGUGAAAUUCUCAAACGUCGGGU
RNAcentral lists this non-coding RNA (174 nucleotides) under marine eukaryotic metagenome. Its description in RNAcentral is "Ruegeria cis52 sRNA". It matches the Rfam family "Ruegeria cis52 sRNA". From Rfam's summary of the family: Cis-encoded. Targets oligo/dipeptide ABC transporter. Functions in transport. The record is from RNAcentral.